UCCUCCUGAACUCCUCUGGUCUAUGCAAAGUGACUGGCCCAGCCUGCAGCCUAGCCUGGCUUCAGUCAUGGGAAAUGUGGGUGGACUGGGGUAGGGCCCCCUUCUCUAUGCCUCUCCACUCUCCUCCCUCAAUCCCUGAAUUCCUUUAAGAGCUAAGUUCACACUCGGAGCUAGAGGCAAGCUUCUGGCCCGCAGGCCUCCUCCUGUUCCCCAGCAUCCCACCUGGCACAGCCCCUGCGGCUGCUUGUGGGAGCCAGGCCCUCCGUGGUGGCAGCCAUUUCCCAAUAGUCUUGAUUAGUCUGGCAGGACUCGGCUGACUAAGAAAUUUACUGCACAGAGAAGGAAGGCUAUCCCCUGGAGAGCAGGGACCACCCAGAGGGGUCACCUGGACAGCUCUCAUUCACAUAACAACUCUGCACUGGUACCACAGGAUGUCAAGAUAAAGGUCAAGGGUAAAAGAAACAACUUCAGGGACAGGGUGCCAGGAAUGUGUGUCUGUGUGUGCAUAAACGUGCCAGACAGGGAGAAGGCUCAGAAGAGAAAUAUGUACUGAAGAGGCGGCUCCAUGGAGCAGGAGACUGGCCUAAAGGGAAGAAGCAUGUUUGGAGUCACUAGGUUCCAGGUGACAAGUGACAGCAACCACAGGAAAGCGGUGUGACAGGAAGAAUGCUGUUCCCAGACUCACCCCAUAUGGUUCACAGCCAUCACUCAAUACAUACUCCUCCACAAGUAUUUGGAAGAACUCGGAAUCUAUCACAUCCUUGAAACAAGCUCAGCAGUGACCUUGAGGUUCCUGCCUUGGCUUCUUUCAGAGGACUGUUCCCAGGACAGCUAAGCCAAACAACCACCCUCUUGCUCAAGCUGCUUUUGGACAGUUUUAUCACAGGGAGAGAAAUCCUAACUAAGACAGACCGGUCACAUCCAUAUUCCACCAAAACAUGGAAUGACUUCCGACAUUCAGCUUAUACCACAAGCCAGGUGCAGAGCCAGGCCUCACACUCAGGACGCAGCAGACUCAGACUUGAGCAUGUAAAGAUGCCCGUGUCCCAACAGCAGAGCACAUAACUAGCAAGGAAAAGGGGUCGGGUGGGAAUGGCAGUUGGAGCAAACAUCCCCCCCUCUGAGUGUUCACUUCUAGCACCUCAUGAUCCCACAGUUACAUCCACUAGAUGUGGCCUCAGCACCCAGAAACCCUUCCCAGGGCUACAACUCGGCCCAGGGAAUCUGCUUCUCAGAACCUGUGUUCUCAGGGUUGGGACCCAGAGCCACUCCCACCCCUCAGAGACGGGAAGGUAUAGAGUCAGACCGAGGUAGGCAGGUGGUACAAGGUGGGCCUGGCACAGUGCUGUUCCCAGAGGGCUCUGAGAAGCAGGCAUGAGAUUGGAAGACAGAAGGACAGGCGGCAAGAGCAAGGGGAAGCCUUGAGGAAAUUCAAACUCUAGCCAUCACCUGGAGGGUAUGGAGGGGCCAGGUGAGGAGUGUUCCCACAGAGGCUUGACAAAGGGUGUCCUCAACAGGGGCUAGGUAAGAGGUGUCCCAACAGAGGCCUGACAAGGGUGUCCCAACAGAGGCCAGAUCCUGGCUACAAAGUGCUGCAAGGGCAGAUCGUAUUCCCUGCUGCAGAGCAGCUCAGAGCCUGAGGACAGUGGGAGCCUCGGGGGUAGCCUUAGAACCAGGAAAUGGAGCCUUAGGAGCCUAGGUAGGACAUAGGCUUAAGGCUCCAGAGCCUGAGAUACACUGCCAUGGAGAGUGGCCAGCUGGUGCAGAGAUGGAGGGACAGAGCUCUCCCCCAGCCCCUCUUCUCCUCAGAAUUCAUCAACAGUGUCCUAUCAUAGCUGUGGUGAGGAGGACCACAGUUGGGCCUUCUGGGGCUGGAGCACAAAGGCCCCCAGGAACCUUGAGGGCAAAGCCACAAGCACAGGAACUUGUGGACCCUGUCACCUAAGCAGGAACUCCACAGUGGAGUAUCCCUUGCCCCAUCUAUCAGCUCCUGCCCUGAAUAACCCAGUGAUUUUCACAUGGUGUCAGAUUCAGGGGAAUGACAAAUUCCAAAGGCUUCCCAGGCCUGAGCUUAGAGCCCUCUGGGUACAGGAUGCAGCAUGUGUCCCCCAAGCAACUGACCUGGAGACAGGUUAACAAUGAGAUUGUCCCAGGACAGCCAUAGGGGGAUUCUGCUAGAUGAGUCAGGUAGGAGAGGGUCAGCAAGGACCAUGACAGUGGUUGUUCUGCAUUGCAGGCCUUGGAGACAGACAUGGGGGGUGCAAGCCAAGGGAUGUUCUAGACAAGGCUUUCCCUGUAGCCUCUCAGAAACUGGCCCUGCCCAGCCUAGAUUCCCUCAGUGAGGCCUGGGUGUUACUUUGGAGAAUAUGCAGUCCAGGAUAGCCUGAAACUAGUGAUGCUCCUGCCUCAGCCUCCCUAGUGUGGGCAUUACAGGUAGGUGUGUGUGUGUGUGUGUGUGUGUGUGUGUGUGUGUGUGUGUGUGUGUGAGAGAGAGAAAGCAGACAGACAGACAGACAGACAGGCCCAGCUCAAGAUUUAUCACAGCAGCCAUAGGAAAU
Molecule: non-coding RNA, 2558 nt
Organism: Cricetulus griseus (Chinese hamster)
Lineage: Eukaryota; Metazoa; Chordata; Mammalia; Rodentia; Cricetidae
Source: RefSeq, a predicted model, not a curated record